UAAUACGGAGGGUGCAAGCGUUAAUCGGAAUUACUGGGCGUAAAGCGCACGCAGGCGGUUUGUUAAGUCAGAUGUGAAAUCCCCGAGCUUAACUUGGGAACUGCAUUUGAAACUGGCAAGCUAGAGUCUUGUAGAGGGGGGUAGAAUUCCAGGUGUAGCGGUGAAAUGCGUAGAGAUCUGGAGGAAUACCGGUGGCGAAGGCGGCCCCCUGGACAAAGACUGACGCUCAGGUGCGAAAGCGUGGGGAGCAAACAGGAUUAGAUACCAUGGUAGUCCACGCUGUAAACGAUGUCGACUUGGAGGUUGUGCCCUUGAGGCGUGGCUUCCGGAGCUAACGCGUUAAGUCGACAGCCUGGGGAGUACGGCCGCAAGGUUAAA
This 378-nucleotide ribosomal RNA is filed under the name uncultured bacterium. RNAcentral's name for it is "bacterial SSU rRNA". It matches the Rfam family "Bacterial small subunit ribosomal RNA", at positions 521 to 898 of the family's 1533-position model. The record is from RNAcentral.